Molecule: ribosomal RNA, 472 nt
Filed under: uncultured bacterium
Lineage: Bacteria
Description: SSU rRNA
Rfam family: Bacterial small subunit ribosomal RNA
Source: RNAcentral
AGAUUGAACGCUGGCGGCGUGCCUAACGCAUGCAAGUCGAGCGGUAACAGGUGUAGCAAUACAUGCUGACGAGCGGCGAACGGGUGAGUAAUGCUUUGGAAUCUUCCCAGUAGUGGGGAACAACCAGUCGAAAGAUUGGCUAAUACCGCAUACGUCUGUGAAGAGAAAGCGGGGGAUCGUAAGACCUCGCGCUAUUGGAUGAGCCAAAGUCGGAUUAGCUAGUUGGUGAGGUAAUGGCUCACCAAGGCGACAAUCCGUAGCUGGUCUGAGAGGACGACCAGCCACACCGGAACUGAGACACGGUCCGGACUCCUACGGGAGGCAGCAGUGGGGAAUAUUGGACAAUGGGGGAAACCCUGAUCCAGCGACGCCGCGUGUGUGAAGAAGGCCCUAGGGUUGUAAAGCUCUUUGUGCGGGAAGAUAAUGACGGUACCGCAAGAAUAAGCCCGGCUAACUUCGUGCCAGCAGCCGC